This is a long non-coding RNA of Phascolarctos cinereus (koala), 1710 nucleotides long. The record is from Ensembl. NCBI's taxonomy places the organism in Eukaryota, Metazoa, Chordata, Mammalia, Diprotodontia, Phascolarctidae.
CGGAGGCCUUGACAGCGCGAGGAGGAUUCUGGGACUAGCCUGGACUGGCUCCUCUGGAACUGUUCCUGCGCAGGCGCGGCGGUGCGGGCUGCCAGAGAGAGCGCUGGACCACGGUGGCAGCGACCGAGGGUCUCUUGGCCAUCUGUGCAGGGCUCUGGGGUGCUCAAAGCUGCUGGAUCCCUCCGCGUUAGCCUGUUUAUCCCAGAGGAUCCCAGGGAGUUGGGUCCCUCCCGAGCCCAGCUUCUCUUCCAGAGCAGCUGCCUCAGAGCCCGUUCAUGGCCAUGCUGCUGACCCCACAGGAACCAGUCAGUCUUCUGAGAGUGAAGGUGGAAGAAGGUGCUCCUGAGCAUCAGGAAUUCUUCCUGGGAGGAAACAGAUCUGACCCUGGGCCCUCUGGGCAGUGCUUCAGGGCAGGACUCCGAGAUGCAUGUGAAAGAGCAGGACCUGGGUCAGAGGCACCUUUGUCUGCUGUACCUGUGAGGUUGGGCAUCUGGGUGAAGGCCCCACAGCGUCCAGACCACAAUUUUCAUUUCCAGGACUCUGCUCUUUAUCGGGAGGGAAUCCUAGAAGAAGAAGAAAGGCCUCUGACAGCUGGAUCCCAGGUGAGUCAGGGUUUCUUCUCUGUGCUGAGGUGGUGGCCUCCUGUCUAUCCACUCUCCCGAAUGAAGCAUCUCUCCCCAGCCAGAUUCAGGACCCUGAGCCCCUGGUAGAUGGCAGGCUCCGUGGGGAGGUCUCCUUGUUUGCCUCCUGCCCUUCCUCAUGCCCUUUCUCUUCUUUCUACCCAUUCGUCCUUCACUCGUUCAUCCUGCAGAUAUUUCCAUGACCACUGUCAGUGCACCAUCCCUGCCCUCAGGGAGCGGGAUUCUCAUGGAAGAGGCAGGAAGGCAGGCAGGAUCCCAUCAGACAAUGAUGAGUGCCAGGGUGCUCUCUGUGCACACGUGAGUGGAGGGUCUGGCUAAGAAGCAGGAGGCUUGUGUUGGGGGCCCGGGGAAGAGAAGGUGGGAUCCAGAACCAGAUCAGUCUGGAGAGAUCUCAGAAGGUUGGACAUUGUCCUUGAGGUGUGAGGUGUGGAGGAUCCUCUGAAGGUUUUUGAACUCAGCAGGGUCUUAGGAGGAGCUGGUGACUGAGAAAGCGUGCUGCUGGAUUACUCAAACCCUUGACAGCCAAGCAGACGCUGGGAUGGUGCAGUGGAAGGCAGAUUAUCCCACCUGGGUCUCAGUUUCAUUUCUAGUUCUUCACUCUAGUUGUAACUCCCUCCCAUUGACCUUUGUUCUGCCCUCCAGAGCUACAGAGAUGUGGGCCUCUUCUGUUCCAUCAUCAUGCCUAGCGUAGGCUAUUGGAGAAAGAGGACGAGGUCAGUUGUGGACAUGGAACAUAGGCCUGGAACAUGAGGGAGAGGUCCCAAGCUCCGAGUGAGACAGCCAGGGCCAGAGAGGUGUGUUUGUGGAGCCUUCUAUGAGGCUGUGCGAACUUCCUAGGGGUAGAGGCAGCCCUAGGAGGAAGCCUCCUUUGGGGAGGCAAGAGGAGCCCAUGAGGAGAACCAGAGUAGACCUGUGUCCCGCACACCUAGGAAGAGAGCGUUCCAGGCGGCGUUAUUCGGCGGCCUUCAGGGCAGAGGGGAAGCAGAGACUGAUAAAACUGGUCCUUGAAUUUGGCCAAUGACAAGUGGGUUAGUAGGGGCUGGGUGCCAGGGCAUAGGCUCACCGAAAG